CCUACGGGGUGCUGCAGUGGGGAAUAUUGGGCAAUGGAGGAAACUCUGACCCAGCAACGCCGCGUGAAUGAUGAAGGUCUUCGGAUUGUAAAGUUCUUUUCUAAGGGAAGAAGAUAGUGACGGUACCUUAGGAAUAAGCCUCGGCUAACUACGUGCCAGCAGCCGCGGUAAUACGUAGGAGGCAAGCGUUAUCCGGAAUGACUGGGCGUAAAGGGUGCGUAGGUGGUUUAACAAGUUGGUAGCGUAACUCCGGGGCUCAAUCUCGGCACUGUUACCAAAACUGUCAGACUUGAGUGCAGGAGAGGCAAAUGGAAUUCCUAGUGUAGCGGUGGAAUGCGUAGAUAUUAGGAGGAACACCAGUGGCGAAGGCGAUUUGCUGGACUGUAACUGACGCUGAGGCGCGAAAGCGUGGGGAGCAAACAGGAUUAGAUACCCCUGUAGUC
RNAcentral lists this ribosomal RNA (443 nucleotides) under uncultured bacterium. RNAcentral's name for it is "partial 16S ribosomal RNA". It matches the Rfam family "Bacterial small subunit ribosomal RNA", at positions 338 to 795 of the family's 1533-position model. The record is from RNAcentral.